Ictalurus punctatus (channel catfish) is the source of this 602-nucleotide long non-coding RNA. The record is from Ensembl. Lineage: Eukaryota; Metazoa; Chordata; Actinopteri; Siluriformes; Ictaluridae.
CUGCUGUCACAACUAUUAAAGAAGCUAUCAUAUGAUUUUCGUAUGUGCAGUCAAUUCACCAGACUUGUGUCAAUGGACCUGAGCAAGUUCUUUUAUGAGGUCUUGACAAACACGCCUCAAAGCUGCUGUAUUUGUACCGCACAAGGCGCUAUGCAGACAUCGCAGAAAUGAGUGCCAUACUGGAGAGCCUGGAUAAAAAUGCAUCAAAUCAACGGAAGAGGGUUGCAGUACUGCUGGGGCUGCCACUGUACAUGCGGGAGAAUCCAUCUCAGUUCUUAAAGAUCUGUGAGCACACAGAUUCUGAAGAAGAGUCAAUCAAGGGCGUGACUGUUGGAAUCAUUACAGUUGUGGAUGACGUGAUGGACCCUAUUCCAUGUGACUGCAGUGAUGUAGCUCUUGUAAUCGAAGAGGUUGUCGUUCUACGCAACCUUGGUGAUGUACAAAAUGCAUUUGUCAACUUGAUGGGAUUGCUCUAUGCACUUAACAUAAACUACCCCAAAAACUUCAAAUACACGUUUGAGGUCAUUCAGAGGCUGUUCAUGAACAUUGGAGCUGAUGCCUGCAGUGCACGAGUACAUUCACUUAAAAAUAAACUGCUGAAG